Condylostylus longicornis is the source of this 2200-nucleotide long non-coding RNA. RefSeq lists it as uncharacterized. Lineage: Eukaryota; Metazoa; Arthropoda; Insecta; Diptera; Dolichopodidae. The record is from RefSeq and is a predicted model, not a curated record. The transcript has 3 exons.
UUUGUAAUUGCCGCCUAUUUGGAAAAAUGCCGCAUUAAAUUUUUGCGUAACAAAAUAUAAAAUUAUUAUGUAAACGGGAAUGUCAUUUAUAACUUGGCAUAGCAAACACAUUUUUAAAUGUUUCCACAUGUUUUGAUUGAGAUGUACAACUUGUGAAGUUCGCACUUUUAAAGUUAGAGCGUGUAGAGAUAUAAAAGUUAGGCGCUAAAUGAAAUCUUAUAAAGUUGUGACAGUGUAAGUCAUAUGGUCUCGUCUUAGCAAUAUUGCGCAUGAAAAUAUUUUCGGUGCGAUUAGUUUUAAUAGGUAGUUUAAUAGUUUUCAAUUUUUGUGCAAUUUAUUUAGUGCAAUCAAAUUUUCUUAAAAUCUCUAUAUCUGGAAAACCGUCGAGCUUUUAUAGCAACUUCUGAACAAAAGUUUUAUCCUGUUUUGAUUUCCUAAUAACGAUCGUACAUCAUGUUGUACUCAUUAUUCAAUUACCUUGUAUAUACAAACGGUUGUUAUUAUUAAGUUUUGAUAAUUCCGUCUUUAGCCACAUAGUCUGCUCCUAACGUUGGCUAAAAAAAUUAAAAAAAUAUUUCAGUAAAAUAUGUGUUCUACAAAAAAACUAAUUCAUAAUAAAUUGAACUCCGAUAGAAUACCUAUUUCCCUCCGAUUGUAAUUUAAAUUUUACAAUUGGGGGUUCACUCAAAUGAGUUUUUAAAUUUACGUAGAAGUUUAAAUGCACAAAACUUUUUAUACGAAAUGCCAAAAUUAUAGUUGAACUAAUGCCAAAAUUAUAUCUAUUUAUAGUUAAACUGACUGGAUGUGACAGAAACAGUGGUUAAGCUAGUUGUAAUACAAGUUUUUUCUAUUUUUUUUUGUUUUACUAUAAGGAUUCACGAAACAAUAAAUUAUUUCACGGACUAAAAUUAAUUUUAUUAAGUUCAGAUAAAAAGCAAUCCACCACCGGGAAAAAAGAGCUUUGAGAGACGAUAAAUCUGGACGAACUUUGGGGAAUUCAUCCCGCACUACAAGUAGAUCGGGGAACGUCAUCUAGCAGCCUGCAUACCGCUGGACAUGGAGGCAAAAGGACAAUAUAAGGCGUUCUUUUGGCAUCAUUUCGCCUCUCGGUACGAAAAUGAUACCAACAUAAAGAGUGUUGACAGACAGCAGCGAAACAAGUAAGAACCGUCUCCUACAAGAUGAAGGAAAAAUGAAAGGCGGUUUUCCAGGGAUGACUUAGAAGCUGCAACUUUUAAAAUUAAGGAUAUCUGGUGGCAGUUUAUGUGUUAUAAUGUGUGUGCUGGAUGUAUAAAGUGCGCUCCUAUGGGCUUGGAAAAGAUGGUGGAUUUGGCUAAGCGGACUGGAAAACAGGUCGUAAUUAGCUGCGAUGCUAAUGCUUAUAAUUCCAUCUAUAGCAUAGAUACGAAUACUAUAGGUGAGUCUUUAUUUGAUUUCCUUAUUUGUACCUUUUUAGGGUGGCUAACGUAGGUCAUAGGCUCACAUUUGUAAAAAGGAUUAGGCAAUAGGUAUUGAACCUUACACUGAUCUCGCCUUUCUGAGUGAACUUAUGGGAUCAUAGACACAUAGAUUUGUAGGUACUUGUUCACUGGUUCGUUUCCUAGAUGGGUCAGUGAGUAUUUGACGUUUAAAAGUGGAGAGGCCAAGUUGGUGACCUGCUCAUUGAGCUGUGCAGAUUGAAAUAUCAUUUUCACAAAUUAGAACAAUCUAAGGCCGUUUGUGUGGAUUUUGUCAUGGUGAAAAAAAGAUGGAUGAGCAUAUUCUCUGUUCUGUUAUCUGAUGACUGUUGUCCAGAUUUGAGGCUGGUGACUGGGGUAAGGUUGAGCAAAGUGAGGCCGUGGUGGACACGGACAUAAUACUGAGCGGACAUAAUACCAAGAUUCUUCAGGGGACUAGAAAAAUUGUUUAUGAAAGCGGAUCCCGGAUUACAAAAGUUACUAGGAUCCAGGUGUGGAGAGCGACACGGGUUCGGUCUUCCGCAAUUUAAAAAAAAAUACUUGGAUUGAAAUUUGCUGCAAAAUGGUACAUUAAUGCGCAAUUCAGUUUAUGUCUGCUGAAUAAUGUAGGAAUAUGAAUAGUUUUGAGGCGAUUUUAAAGUCAAGAUUAUAUAUAUUUCUGAAGUGGGUGACAUUAUGGAUGUCAUACAUAAUAAAACAAUUUUUAAUAUAUACAAUAGAAAAUGGAUAAAAUUUUAACAUGU